Molecule: long non-coding RNA, 599 nt
Filed under: Pan troglodytes (chimpanzee)
Lineage: Eukaryota; Metazoa; Chordata; Mammalia; Primates; Hominidae
Description: lncRNA (ENSPTRG00000053314.1)
Source: RNAcentral
GCCCAUAUUUAACCAUCAUAUUUGUGCAUAUGAUUGCAGCUCUGCUGAAGGGACUUGGGAGUGAGCUGCCAGGCUACAAGGGAUUGAAUCGAAAGCCCCCUAAUGGUUAAAGUGUCCAUUAGCUUCUCUACACUUAGCAUCCAUCAGAGAGAAGACAGGCUGGGAGCCCCGGGCGAAUUUCUAACUAGCCUAAUGAGGAGAGAGAUUCUGGGAGCAAAAAAAGUUCAUUUGCUGAAUUUCCAGCAAGAAGUCACUUCAAUAUUGCUUCUAGGAAACACUGACAGGCUUUGUUGAUUAGCAAGCUAAACAGAGAAAAAGAUAACACUCAAGAAGCUGCCUAUAUGUAAGAGAUUCCUUUGAGAACUUUCAAAUGGCUCCUUUCUACAAAAGACCUGGGAAUACUUAACCCCCCACCACUAGCACACUCAAAGCUCAAGGCAAAUGCAUUUUCAAGAUUGACAGGGUCUUGGACUCUGAAAGUCUUUGGUGAGUAUUGCGCUGCAAGUCUUAAUAUUCUACCGAAUGAGUAAGUACGCUAUUUUCUGAAAAUAUUUCAAAAGGCGACAUUUUUCUCAGGUUUCCACUACAACCACCCACCC